GUAGUUUGUAAUUGAAUAAAUGAGGUAUGCCACUUUCUUUUCCUGUUGCAUUUUCAAAGAAAACCUGUGGAUGCUCCUGGAUGACUUUUAUGUAUUUGGGAAAGGUGUUGCUGUCCCUCCCUUUAAGAGGGGAGGCUAGUUCUCUCCCUUUGAAUCUCCACUGAUUUUGACUCACCACGCCUUCCAUUUUUGUUCAGGAAAGGCAGCCAUGAUGCUGCAAAUAAAAGUAAGCUCAAGAUUGGUAAAUAAAUGCUA
Long non-coding RNA from Bos indicus x Bos taurus (hybrid cattle), 255 nucleotides. The record is from Ensembl. NCBI's taxonomy places the organism in Eukaryota, Metazoa, Chordata, Mammalia, Artiodactyla, Bovidae.